AAGGUGGAUAGAAUGUAACACCCCGAGUGUUCAUGCACUCGUUUUGUAGUAUAAAAAAAAAUUUGGACGAAGAGACGAUUGGAAUUAAAGUGCAAUAAUCAGAUAGAAUGUUCUACACCCAUUUAUACACAAGAAAGGAACUUGCUACAUCUUAGCUAUUCUACAAGCCAAAGUCUACAAGUUUGACUCUAGCUAAAAGUGGUAAUGGAACCAAAGAAAGCUUGAAGCAUGAGUCAUCUUCUCUUCCCUUCUCGAUUUUGGGACAACCACAAAAUGCCAAGUUCCACCUUGCAACCUGCCAAGAUACACCAAAAUGGUUAGGAAGAGAUCCCCAAGCAAAGUGAUGACAAGUUAAAAAACCAUUAGGAGAUCAGCUGAGAUACACUCUCCAGGAAGUGAGAUCAGCCAAGGACAUGUCUCCCAAGAAUUUCACCAAUUUGGCAAAAAAUGGCUUUUUAGCUCAACUCAAAAAGAGAGGUGAAUUGCUAGCUCAAAAUAGAAAUUGAAUCUCUCCAAUGCCUUACACCAAUUUAAUAGCGAAGCUUUAAACGCAAAACCAUAAAGGAGAGAGAAUGUUUAACUCAAAUUAUCCACAAAAUGCCAAAAGUGAAGGCCUAUAUAAGAAGCUGCCGUCCCCUCCAUCCUCCACACAUUUCAACACUAAAAUUUAACAUAUCAAGGAGUGCAGCAAGGAGGGGGAGGAAGAGGAGCAAGGAGCGACGGCAGUGGCAGCGCGAGAGUGCAGCCCGGUAAACCGGAGGAAUCACCAAAGCAAGGUUGAGCAGUGAUGACGGCGGGCGGUGUUGAGCAUAGACGAUGAAGAUCCUUCAAUAGAAUAGUACUUGGAUGCGUCGUGUCUCCAUACACGAUGUCAUCUGCUCUUGACUCUUCCGCUGCAAUGUAAAAGUCGAGAUUUCAUUCUCUUGUACCAUGCACUCUGAUUUUUAUAUAUUCCAAGUUAUUUCAGUUCAA
Molecule: long non-coding RNA, 972 nt
Organism: Salvia hispanica
Lineage: Eukaryota; Viridiplantae; Streptophyta; Magnoliopsida; Lamiales; Lamiaceae
Source: RefSeq, a predicted model, not a curated record